RNAcentral lists this ribosomal RNA (492 nucleotides) under uncultured bacterium. RNAcentral's name for it is "bacterial SSU rRNA". It matches the Rfam family "Bacterial small subunit ribosomal RNA", at positions 28 to 524 of the family's 1533-position model. The record is from RNAcentral.
GAUGAACGCUAGCGGGAGGCCUAACACAUGCAAGCCGAGCGGUAGAGAUUCUUCGGAAUCUUGAGAGCGGCGUACGGGUGCGGAACACGUGUGCAACCUACCUUUAUCUGGAGGAUAGCCUUUCGAAAGGAAGAUUAAUACUCCAUAAUAUAUUGAUUGGCAUCAAUUGAUAUUGAAAGCUCCGGCGGAUAGAGAUGGGCACGCGCAAGAUUAGUUAGUUGGUGAGGUAACGGCUCACCAAGACGAUGAUCUUUAGGGGCCUGAGAGGGUGAUCCCCACACUGGUACUGAGACACGGACCAGACUCCUACGGGAGGCAGCAGUGAGGAAUAUUGGUCAAUGGGUGCAAGCCUGAACCAGCCAUCCCGCGUGAAGGACGACUGCCCUAUGGGUUGUAAACUUCUUUGUAUAGGGAUAAACCUACCCUCGUGAGGUAGCUGAAGGUACUAUACGAAUAAGCACCGGCUAACUCCGUGCCAGCAGCCGCGGUAAU